AUACAAAAUAUUUGGAGGUCUUGUUAAAAUGCAGAUUCCAAUGAAAUGAGCCUGGUGCAGAGCCUGAGACUGCAUUUCUAAGGAGCUCGCAGGUGAUGUGUAC
RNAcentral lists this microRNA precursor (103 nucleotides) under Marmota monax (woodchuck). Lineage: Eukaryota; Metazoa; Chordata; Mammalia; Rodentia; Sciuridae. The record is from RNAcentral.